GUGUCUGAUGACAUCUUGAAUGCAAGCUUAAGAUCUAAUUUUUCCAAUUCUCAUCAUUUAUUUUUCCUGUUACCUGUGAUUUGUAUGGCAUUGGUUCUAUCCUUCAGUAUGAAUUUCAUGAUGACUCCUAGGGCCAAAUGUUUUCUAGGCAAAGAGAAAUGCAUAACUCUUGUGAGUGUGAUGAAGGCAAAGCAGAGUAUUGAAAAAAGAAAGUUAUCAGAUCAUCAUAGAAGUCAUAUGUGAAAGAGUAGAGUCUGAAGAAGGACAUUUAAAAGAAAAAUAGAGAGUGAUAUCACAUGGAUGGCUUGAAAUUCUGGUUGGAGUGGUGGGAGUAUUUACAACCCAGAGUCAGUCAACAUCAAAAUCAGGUGAAAACAUCAAUAAACAUUUAUGUUGGAACUACAGUUAAUCAUCAAAUUCAACCAUUGUUUGGCUAUGGACACGAGAGUUCAGCAAAAAUGGAAAAGCACGCUGUGAUAAUCAAUUACGUACACUGAAGUCACAAUAAAGACUCUCGUCAGGCACAAAGACCACAUACUGUUUGACUCCACUCAUGUGUAAUGUCCAGAACUAGGAAAUCCAUAGAAAUAUGAAGUCGCAGUGUCUGUAUAAAACUGCUCAGUAGUGUUCUCAGUAUUCCCAGGCAUGACGACCAUCACCAUUGUCUAAUUUUAGAACCUUUUCAGUGCUCCAGGAAGAAACCUCAUACAGAUAUGUGAGCAGCUAUUCCCCAUCUCUACUCCCUACUGCCUCCACUCCAGGCUCAGGCAAAUGGUGAUGUUUUUAG
Tupaia belangeri chinensis (Chinese tree shrew) is the source of this 787-nucleotide long non-coding RNA. RefSeq lists it as uncharacterized. The transcript is spliced from 4 exons. Lineage: Eukaryota; Metazoa; Chordata; Mammalia; Scandentia; Tupaiidae. The record is from RefSeq and is a predicted model, not a curated record.